This 408-nucleotide ribosomal RNA is filed under the name uncultured bacterium. Its description in RNAcentral is "partial 16S ribosomal RNA". It matches the Rfam family "Bacterial small subunit ribosomal RNA", at positions 28 to 526 of the family's 1533-position model. The record is from RNAcentral.
GACGAACGCUGGCGGCGUGCUUAACACAUGCAAGUCGAAGAUAGUGGCGAACGGGUGAGUAAUACGUGGGUAACCUGCCCUCCUUUUUGGGAUAAGCCUUGGAAACGGGGUCUACUACCUAAUAAAGGGGGAUGGGCUCGCGGCCUGUCAGCUUGUUGGUGGGGUGAUGGCCUACCAAGGCGGUGCCGGGUAGCCGGCCUGAGAGGGUGAACGGCGACUUUGAGACGGAGAAAAGGCCCAGGCUACUACGGAGGGGAGAAGUGGGGACUAUUGGAGAAUGCGCGAAGGCGUGAUGCAGCGACGCCGAGUGGGGGAUUAAGGCUUUAGGGUUGUAACAGUCUUGAGCUAGCGAACGGGUAGGGGGAGAAGAAGCGCCGGCUAACUACGUGCCAGCAGCCGCGGUAAUAC